GAUCCUGGCUCAGGAUGAACGCUAGCUACAGGCUUAACACAUGCAAGUCGAGGGGCGAUCAGAAAGAAAGCUUGCUUUCUUUGCUGGCGACCGGCGCACGGGUGAGUAACACGUAUCCAACCUGCCCUUUACUCGGGGAUAGCCUUUCGAAAGAAAGAUUAAUACCCGAUGGGAUAAUGAUUCCGCAUGGUUUCAUUAUUAAAGGAUUCCGGUAAAGGAUGGGGAUGCGUUCCAUUAGGUUGUUGGUGAGGUAACGGG
Molecule: ribosomal RNA, 258 nt
Filed under: uncultured bacterium
Lineage: Bacteria
Description: partial 16S ribosomal RNA
Rfam family: Bacterial small subunit ribosomal RNA
Source: RNAcentral